AAGUUAUUAGUUUAAGAAAAACAUUUGAUUUCGACUCAAACAAUUAUGGUUAAAGCCCAUAAUUACUUU
Molecule: transfer RNA, 69 nt
Filed under: Pronothobranchius seymouri
Lineage: Eukaryota; Metazoa; Chordata; Actinopteri; Cyprinodontiformes; Nothobranchiidae
Description: tRNA-Arg
Rfam family: tRNA
About the family: Transfer RNA (tRNA) molecules are approximately 80 nucleotides in length. Their secondary structure includes four short double-helical elements and three loops (D, anti-codon, and T loops).
Source: RNAcentral